Molecule: ribosomal RNA, 147 nt
Filed under: Clostridiales bacterium
Lineage: Bacteria; Bacillati; Bacillota; Clostridia; Eubacteriales
Description: partial 23S ribosomal RNA
Rfam family: Bacterial large subunit ribosomal RNA
Source: RNAcentral
AGGCAUCUAAGCGUGAAGCCCCCCUCAAGAUGAGAUAUCCCAUCGUAAGAGUAAGACCCCUUGAAGACGACGAGGUUGAUAGGGCAGGGGUGGAAGUGCCGUAAGGCAUGGAGCUGACUGCUACUAAUCGGUCGAGGGCUUGACCAA